Molecule: ribosomal RNA, 213 nt
Filed under: uncultured bacterium
Lineage: Bacteria
Description: partial 16S ribosomal RNA
Rfam family: Bacterial small subunit ribosomal RNA
Source: RNAcentral
UACGUAGGCAGCGAGCGUUGUUCGGAGUUACUGGGCGUAAAGGGUGUGUAGGCGGUUGUUUAAGUUUGGUGUGAAAUCUCCGGCUUAACUGGAGGUGCGCCGAAUACUGAAUGACUUCGAGUGCGGGAGAGGAGAGUGGAAUUCCUGGUGUAGCGGUGAAAUGCGUAGAUAUCAGGAGGAACACCGGUGGUGUAGACGGCUCUCGUGAACCGU